CUGGCCAUUGACACUGGCAGAAUUCUUAGCAUGAAAUUAUUAUUAUUACUUCUGUACCAGCAGAGAUGUGUGUGGCACUCUGAAGAAUCUAUCAAGAUGAAGUCUCUGCUUCUGCAAGCUCACAACCUGCGGUCCUGAUCCCGUAAUUUACUCUGCAUGGUCCUUUCCUCAUGGAAACCUAAGCAGUCAAGAGCAGGACAUUGGGACAGUGACACAGGAAGGGAGAAGGGAGGCGCGGUGCCAAGGCUGUGUGUGAGAGCCUGCUGCUGGGAGGGUUUACCCCUUCUCCUCUGUUUCUGAGCCCUGGGGAGUGGCAUGGACUGUUCUCUGCUCAUCCUGCAGAGACCUGGGAUGCUCUGGGCUACUCAUUUGCUCCCUGUGACCAGCACUACACUUACACAUGUUCAAAGUAGGUAAGAGUUCGGAUUCUCCCUCUCUCAGGAGGUUCCUGACUCCGCAGUGGAUCUUCAGAGGUAGGAGCACUGCAGAAGUCCUGAGUAUCCUGGAGCUCCCAUAUAGCACAGGAAAAACCUAUUAUGGGAAAGCUGCUAAUAGCAGAGGUAAGCU
Molecule: long non-coding RNA, 567 nt
Filed under: Lepidothrix coronata (blue-crowned manakin)
Lineage: Eukaryota; Metazoa; Chordata; Aves; Passeriformes; Pipridae
Description: lncRNA (ENSLCOG00000006967.1)
Source: RNAcentral